RNAcentral lists this long non-coding RNA (444 nucleotides) under Parus major (Great Tit). RNAcentral describes it as "lncRNA (ENSPMJG00000018340.1)". The record is from RNAcentral. Lineage: Eukaryota; Metazoa; Chordata; Aves; Passeriformes; Paridae.
CGGUUAGGGACCCCGCCGCGCCGCGCUCCGCGGGCGCCCCCGCCCCCUGCCCGCCCCCGCGCUGCCCCGCGCACCCUGAUAAGGAGACACAUCACGUGUCGCUCCGGCUCCUCUCCCGGGGACGCGCUACCGCGGCGGCAGCAGCAGCAGCCUGUUGCAAAUAGCAUCUCUAACUCGCCCUCGUCGCGGGGAGGGAGGGGCGCCUCCAAGGAGAGGAAAACUUUUCGUCCUUGCGCGAUUUGGGUCCCCGCAGGGGUCAGUCAUCCAUCCAGACCUAAAAGACACGUUAAAUCUAACAGGACCGUGAACAUUAGCACAGGAACAGGAGGUGCAAGUGCUGUGUCUAAUCAAAGGCGAGAUUCGGCCGCUUGCACGUACAGAAAUCAAGUGAUAGCCUCUAGGCAAAAGGCUUGUGCCAGCAUACAUGGUAUCCUAUCCUCCUGA